GGAUGCCGAGGCGCGGCACUGUUAGAGCCUGAAGAAGAGGAUGAUGAGGGCGGCUGCCUCGUCCCAGACAGGUUUGGGUUCCUGCAUGAGCAGAAGUUGCCCCAAGACAGCACCCCGGGGGCAAAGGUAAGGACAAGUCCUUGGCCAUGGGCCAGUCAUCUGGAAGCAGAGCUGGGUGGAGGGGGCAUGUGGGGCUCGGCAAUGGUUAGUGGGAGUGCCAUAAGGUCCUGCAAUGUGGUACUUACAUGGCCCCUGCUGACAUCUUAACACACUCACCUGCCCCAGAACUGAGCCGCAGUUCAGGGGCAUCUUCCUGUCAGCUGUCAUGAGUCAUUGGCAUGGUUGGGAGUGACCUGGCUGGAGCUCAGGGGCUCUGCCUUGAGGAUGGGGCAGCUCGGGUCAGAGGCCAGGCCACCGACGCUCCCCAGACAGAAGACCUGGGGCUCACGGUCUGUGCCUUUUCUGAUUCCUUCCUUUGAGUGCACACAGAGCUCCUGAGCUGCAUCUGAGGGCCACUCUCAGAGUCUGAAGCUGAGCUCACACCAUCCUGUCUUGUUUUCCAGUGUAAACAGGUGCACAGGAUCCAGAAAUGGGUGAAAAUGAUAAAGAACCACAGCAAAUACCAUGGCAGCGAGAAGGUACCGUGGAGCUGAGGGCCCCUCGGGAACACUGAGAGCUGAGUUGGGGUUUGAGCAGUGCCCAUUCCCGUGCCAGGCACCGCCUGCCUCUCAGAUGCCCAGGGGCAACUGUCCAGCCCCCAGGGACACAGGUCAUGUGCACCCCUUCCCCAUACACGCAGGACACUGUCCUGGUAGAAAAUCUAAAGUCACUGCUGAAGACAAUCCCGCAUGCAGGGCAGGUGUGGUUCCAGGAGCCCUGUAGGGGGCAGUCAGUGCAGGGCAGAGCCGGUGCCCCUGAGCCCUUGGCCCCCAGUCACUGUGGGUCAUAAGGCCCCCAUCUGGGUAGAUCCUCCCUCUGCCAAUACACACGGAGCCCCUGGCUUCUCCCUCCUGCUGUCUCACCCUGCGCUCCCUCCCCGAGUGGCCACGUUCACCACUCACCAGAGCCUCCUCUCUCCUGUAGUUUCAGCAGAGAAUCUACAAGGGCAUCCCUGCCCAGGUGCGCGGGAAGGUGUGGGCUGUGAUGCUGGAGGUGGACAAGAAGAAGGCCCAGAAUCCAGGCAAAUACGCGGUAUGGCUCUGCACUCAGCCCAAGGGGCCCUGGCCUGCUCGGGCCUGGUCAGGAGCCUGAGUCUCCGUGGAGGACCGUCCCUGACUGAGCCCUCGGGAGCCUCCUCCCCAUCCUGCCUGCUUCUCUCCCUAGAUCCUAGUCAGUGCCUCCUCCACGUCUCCCCAGACCCAGCUGGGACUGCACAUGUGUGUUUUGUGCCAGAGGCUUUAACCUGCUCUCUGCUGAGCUCACCAGGGCAGCUUGGCAUAAGGCCAGAACAGAGGAAUUGCUGCGCCCAUGAUGGGCGGGGGUCUCCCAGUAUGAGAUCACAAUGGUGUGAGGUAGGGAGCCCCACAGGCUCUGUGCUAACAGGGCCUGCCCACAGCUGGCCCUGCCUUCACAUGCACUUGCAGCCCCUGGCAUUGCCCUUGCCUGGAGUGGCUGGUCCAAUGGAGAUGAAAGAGCAGGGCCAGGCUGGGCGGCCACUUCACUUCCAUAACAUCGACUCCGCCAUCACAUUGGACUUUCAGAAACCACCUGAAACCACCACCUCCUCUGCCUCUGCCUCUUCUUAG
Long non-coding RNA from Oryctolagus cuniculus (rabbit), 1745 nucleotides. The record is from Ensembl. Lineage: Eukaryota; Metazoa; Chordata; Mammalia; Lagomorpha; Leporidae.